Molecule: unclassified non-coding RNA, 320 nt
Filed under: uncultured Shanorella
Lineage: Eukaryota; Fungi; Ascomycota; Eurotiomycetes; Onygenales; Onygenaceae
Description: sequence contains ITS1
Rfam family: 5.8S ribosomal RNA (bases 1-105)
Source: RNAcentral
GAAAUGCGAUAAGUAAUGUGAAUUGCAGAAUUCCGUGAAUCAUCGAAUCUUUGAACGCACAUUGCGCCCCCUGGUAUUCCGGGGGGCAUGCCUGUCCGAGCGUCAUUACAACCAUCAAGCACGGCUUGUGUGUUGGGCGACCGUCCCCCUUCUCUGGCGGGACGCGCCCGAAACGCAGUGGCGACGCCGCGAUUCCGGCGCCUGAGCGAAUGGGAUUUUCCACCGCUACAAGGCCCGGCCGGCAUUGGCCUCCAAACCAGUCCCUUAGGGACUACACAACGGUUGACCUCGGAUCAGGUAGGGAUACCCGCUGAACUUAA